UACGGAGGGUGCGAGCGUUGUCCGGAAUCAUUGGGCGUAAAGGGCGCGUAGGUGGCGGGACAAGCGUGCGGUGAAAGCCUGGGGCUCAACCCCGGGUCGGCCGUGCGAACUGUUUUGCUUGAGCACUGUAGAGGCAGGCGGAAUUCCGGGUGUAGCGGUGGAAUGCGCAGAUAUCGGGAGGAACACCAGUAGCGAAGGCGGCACUCUGGGCCGGUACUGACGCUGAGGAGCGAAAGCGUGGGGAGCAAACAGG
RNAcentral lists this ribosomal RNA (253 nucleotides) under uncultured bacterium. Its description in RNAcentral is "partial 16S ribosomal RNA". It matches the Rfam family "Bacterial small subunit ribosomal RNA", at positions 524 to 776 of the family's 1533-position model. The record is from RNAcentral.